This is a long non-coding RNA of Cervus elaphus (red deer), 2408 nucleotides long. RefSeq lists it as uncharacterized. The record is from RefSeq and is a predicted model, not a curated record. The transcript has 4 exons. NCBI's taxonomy places the organism in Eukaryota, Metazoa, Chordata, Mammalia, Artiodactyla, Cervidae.
ACUGCAGCCUACCAGGCUCCUCCGUCCAUGGGAUUUUCCAGGCAAGAGUACUGGAGUGGGGUGCCAUUGCCUUCUCCAUUAGAUGCACCAGAAAACCAAAAAAUUUGACUCUCUUUGUUGUGACAUUUGCCUUAUUGAACUGGUCUGGAACCGAACAUGCAAUAUUUCUGAGUUAUGCCUGUGUAUUUCUGAAUACACUUUUAGUUUAUUUAAUCGGUUUAUCAAGUAAAUUGGCUUAUCUAGCAAAUCAAUUUAAUUAAAUAAAUUAAUUGUGUAUUUAGAAAUAAUAGUCAUUGCUAUUAAGAGAUGUUAUUGUAACAGUGUCUUAUUUCAUUUUAAAUGAUUCUCAGCUUCAAAUUUUUCCAGAAUAGGACUUGUAUAGGUAAAUGUUAAAGCCUAUCAGUUAAUUUUUUGUGGUGAGUAAUCAUACAGAAUAUACAUACAAGAUUAGGUAUCUGGAGAAAUCUCAUGUUUGCUCAAUGUGUGUAUUCAAGAGUUCAUAUUUUAAAUUAGAUAUUUGUUGAAAUGGCAUAUUGCAUCUAAUUUCUGAAAUAAACACUUACAUAUGAAGUUGCUUUGAAUUUGAAAGCUGCGUCUUGUUCACUAAUAGCAUUUUCUUGGAAAAGAAAAUUGAAACUAGCAGAAGUUCAAAACAUAUUAGGGACCAAAAGGUGUUGAGUACUUAUUAAAAGUGGUAAUUAUGUUUCUUUAUUAUAUGAAGUGUGUCAAAAUGCAUUUUUUCUAGAAAUAAGUUAAUUCAAUGUUAAGUACUCCAGGGGAAAUACGAAUGAAAAUCAGCAACCAUUUAUAUUAUAUAAAAGUAUGAACAAAUAUGCAAGACAUAUACUUUUUCACAAGAAGUCUACUUUGUGUGUUUCAUGUACAGUCACCAAAAUUUAUGUGUCUAAAUGUUUUAAGUUAUGUAGCAUUGAUUUCUGGGAAGUGUUUAGCUAGCAGGUUGUUUUAAACUCACUGGUAUUUGGCUGUCUUCGUUAUGUACCUAUAUACAGUCACAAUUUGCAGAUAAAAUCAAAGCAUACAGUCUGAGAAUGAAUUUUGUCAAAAGCUCAAAAACCAGAAUUAUCUGAUAUUUAAAAAAUUUGUUUAGGGAGUAAGAGACAGAGACACUUUGUUUUGCCCUAUUCCCUAAGGUUUAUCCAUUGUUUGCUCUUUAAAUGGGUGUUCUAUUUCAGCAAGGACUUUUUCCUUUGAAGAGAAAGAGUUGAAUUUUAAGGAUUCAAGGCUUCUGUCCCUUAGUUUUUUCCACCCAAUCCUUACAACCCACCGAUCACGAAUACUGAAGAUUGCCUCUAUCGUCUUCCUCCCCCUUCAUUCUUUCCUUAAAUCAAAACACUAUUUUUGUUUUCUAAAAUGCAAAUUAGAGAUAUGUUUCACUGGCAGUUACAUUCAGUAAUGUUUCUGAUUUUGGAUUAUCUCUGGAGAACCUUUUUUUAAAAAAUAAAAAGUUGCAUAAAACAAAGUUACAUCAUAAAUCUUCAACUAUCACAAAUUUAUUUCAAAAAGAACUAAACAUUUCUACUUAAGACAUCCCUGUGACAGCUCACAUAAGGAUUGCAGUUGAUUCAAAGGUAAGCCUUUUAAUUUAUAUUCAAAUUAACUCAUUAUUCACAUUUAAUAAGAAAAGAACUGAUCAUUUCACCAACCUUUAUCCUUAGCAGGAAUAUACAUUUUAUUCAAUACCAGAGGCUGUUUGCAGAUCCAUUCUUAAUUAUGCAAAAACCCUUAUAAUACAGGUGGUGGAGAAAUAUUGUAUGAAGGGGAAGGAAAAAAAAGACCCAGAUGACAAAUCUUAUAUUUUACAGAGUGACUAAAAUGAUUUUCUUAUAGCUCUUGGGACAUAUCUACAGUGAGCACAUACUGAUUACUGAGGAAAACCCAGACAUCUUACCAGAUACAUUUGUGGAAUCCCCAGAUGUGACUGUCAUUAAUAAUUAUGCCACAUAAUUAUCAUUUCAAUGGAUUUUUAGAGCACAGUGGAGAGACAAUAAGAAUUUGUUGUGUGACGGAAAAUGAGAAAAUAGCAGCCACUGAAGUCUGACCAAGGUAAUUCACCAUAGAGAGGAGAUGUCACCAUGAGCUUUGCAAGUACUGUCACCUCAAACACUAGCCAGGCAAUGCAUUUUAGGCAGCUUUGGGAAGAUUUUCUUACUAUGCUUCUAGAAGUUUGAAAGAAAAGCUUAUAAAAAAAUAUGCUCUUCCUAUUUCCAAAUAAAGAUAAUGUAAUAUAGUUUCUAUAGAAUAAUAGUCUUUUGGCAGAGGGCUUGAAGGAAACGAGUAGAGUCCACACAUUCUGUUCGUUUAUGGAACAAAUUUAGCAUACAGAGAAUUUCCUCGGAGAAUUCUCUACACUGGCAUGACAUGACUAUGAUUUUAUUUUUAUAUUUUCU